GGUGUUAUGGCUCAGUGGUAGAGCACUCACCUAACACAUGCGAGGCCCUGGGUUCUAUUCUCAGCAUCACAU
Molecule: transfer RNA, 72 nt
Filed under: Ictidomys tridecemlineatus (thirteen-lined ground squirrel)
Lineage: Eukaryota; Metazoa; Chordata; Mammalia; Rodentia; Sciuridae
Description: Spermophilus tridecemlineatus (thirteen-lined ground squirrel) tRNA
Rfam family: tRNA
About the family: Transfer RNA (tRNA) molecules are approximately 80 nucleotides in length.
Source: Rfam by way of RNAcentral